CUUUACUGUAGCCUGGAAUUGGGUCCGGGCUUCGCUUGCGCAGGAUAGGUGGGAGGCACUGAAACACUCCUUGUGGGGAGUGUGGAGCCAACGGUGAGAUACCACCCUUGCAUUGUUCGGGUUCUAACCUACUCCCUCACAGGAAGAGGGACACUAUCAGGCGGGUAGUUUGACUGGGGCGGUCGCCUCCCAAAAUGUAACGGAGGCUUCCGAAGGUUAGUUCAGGGUGUUUGGAAAUCACCCAUAGAGUGCAAAGGCAAAAACUAGCUUAACUGUGAGACAAACAAGUCGAGCAGGUGCGAAAGCAGGGCUUAGUGAUCCGGCGGUGUCGUAUGGAAGAGCCGUCGCUCAAAGGAUAAAAGGUA
RNAcentral lists this ribosomal RNA (365 nucleotides) under uncultured organism. RNAcentral's name for it is "bacterial LSU rRNA". It matches the Rfam family "Bacterial large subunit ribosomal RNA", at positions 2099 to 2465 of the family's 2925-position model. The record is from RNAcentral.